RNAcentral lists this ribosomal RNA (226 nucleotides) under uncultured Streptococcus sp. RNAcentral's name for it is "partial 16S ribosomal RNA". It matches the Rfam family "Bacterial small subunit ribosomal RNA", at positions 1159 to 1382 of the family's 1533-position model. Lineage: Bacteria; Bacillati; Bacillota; Bacilli; Lactobacillales; Streptococcaceae. The record is from RNAcentral.
UAAACCGGAGGAAGGUGGGGAGUGACGUCAAAUCAUCAUGCCCCUUAUGACCUGGGCUACACACGUGCUACAAUGGUUGGUACAACGAGUUGCGAGUCGGUGACGGCGAGCUAAUCUCUUUAAAGCCAAUCUCAGUUCGGAUUGUAGGCUGCAACUCGCCUACAUGAAGUCGGAAUCGCUAGUAAUCGCGGAUCAGCACGCCGCGGUGAAUACGUUCCCGGGCCUU